RNAcentral lists this ribosomal RNA (450 nucleotides) under uncultured bacterium. RNAcentral's name for it is "partial 16S ribosomal RNA". It matches the Rfam family "Bacterial small subunit ribosomal RNA", at positions 338 to 795 of the family's 1533-position model. The record is from RNAcentral.
CCUACGGGUGGCUGCAGUGAGGAAUAUUGCGCAAUGGGGGCAACCCUGACGCAGCAACGCCGCGUGAGUGAGGAAGGUUUUCGGAUUGUAAAGCUCUGUCGAGUGGAAAGAAAUGCAUGAUGGCUAAUAUCCAUCAUGCUUGACGGUACCGCUAAAGGAAGCCCCGGCUAACUCCGUGCCAGCAGCCGCGGUAAUACGGGGGGUACAAGCGUUGUUCGGAAGUAUUGGGGGGGAAGAGCGUGUAGGCGGUGAAAUCCCUGGGCUUAACCUAGGAAGUGCAUUUGAAACUGUCAGGCUUGAGUAAGGGAGAGGAAAGUGGAAUUCCUGGUGUAGAGGUGAAAUUCGUAGAUAUCAGGAGGAACACCGGUGGCGAAGGCGACUUUCUGGCCCUAUACUGACGCUGAGACGCGAAAGCGUGGGUAGCAAACAGGAUUAGAUACCCUUGUAGUC